AUCCUCUGGUGUCUCUUCAGAACAAAUAAAUCUUUUGCCUUUUACUAAAGAUUUCCUUGAAGAGGAACCAUUGUGAAUUGAUAACCAAUUUUUUGUUUGUUUGUUUGAGACAGAGUC
Otolemur garnettii (small-eared galago) is the source of this 117-nucleotide small nuclear RNA. Its record names the gene U5. It matches the Rfam family "U5 spliceosomal RNA". Rfam says of the family: U5 RNA is a component of both types of known spliceosome. The precise function of this molecule is unknown, though it is known that the 5' loop is required for splice site selection and p220 binding, and that both the 3' stem-loop and the Sm site are important for Sm protein binding and cap methylation. The record is from Ensembl. Lineage: Eukaryota; Metazoa; Chordata; Mammalia; Primates; Galagidae.